UACGGAGGAUGCAAGCGUUAUCCGGAAUGAUUGGGCGUAAAGCGUCCGCAGGUGGUGUUGUAAGUCUGUUGUUAAAGCGUGCGGCUUAACCGCAUAAGGGCGAUGGAAACUACAGGACUAGAGUGCGUUAGGGGUAGAGGGAAUUCCUGGUGUAGCGGUGAAAUGCGUAGAGAUCAGGAAGAACACCGGUGGCGAAAGCGCUCUACUAUGCCGCAACUGACACUGAGGGACGAAAGCUAGGGGAGCGAAUGGG
This 253-nucleotide ribosomal RNA is filed under the name uncultured bacterium. RNAcentral describes it as "partial 16S ribosomal RNA". It matches the Rfam family "Bacterial small subunit ribosomal RNA", at positions 524 to 776 of the family's 1533-position model. The record is from RNAcentral.